Molecule: long non-coding RNA, 463 nt
Filed under: Drosophila guanche
Lineage: Eukaryota; Metazoa; Arthropoda; Insecta; Diptera; Drosophilidae
Source: RNAcentral
GGGAGCGCCUGGUUUAUUGUGGAUUAUUUUAUUAUUUCGCGUGCGUCUGCGGCGUAAAUAAUUGGAAUCUUUCGUUACCUGUUGCAUUGUUUGAGUUUGGUCUGAGAAGCCUCUAUUAUUUCAAAGGCUCCAUUGUUUCUGUUUGAUUGUCCUUCGGUGGCAGGACACAAACCUGUUCUCUUGUUCAUUGUUCAAUUCUCUUUGAGAGACGAUAAAUAUUUUUCAUAUCGCGGCACUCCGAUAUAUUUAAGAAACACGUUUUGUGAGUGCGUGCAAUUUGUAUGGAUUUCUGAAGUGUCAGCAGGUGGGACUGUUUUUUUUUAACAUUUUUAAAAUUCAUUCAGGCCACGCACAUUUAAUUGUCAAUAUACUCAAUAAUGUCAAGGGGUAUCGAUUUCACUUGAAUGCUUCGCCUCUCCACUUUGCCUGAUUGCAGUCAUCGUUUUCGUUUGCCUUUGACUCA